GCUCCAGUAGUUCUAAUGGUAGAACAAAUCUUUUGUCAGAGAUGAGGCGUGGGUUCGAUUCCCACCUGGAGCU
This 73-nucleotide transfer RNA is filed under the name Candidatus Poribacteria bacterium. Its description in RNAcentral is "tRNA-Asp". It matches the Rfam family "tRNA". From Rfam's summary of the family: Transfer RNA (tRNA) molecules are approximately 80 nucleotides in length. Their secondary structure includes four short double-helical elements and three loops (D, anti-codon, and T loops). Lineage: Bacteria; Candidatus Poribacteria. The record is from RNAcentral.